CACGAACCGGACGAACGUUAUUCGGAAUUAUUGGGCUUAAAGGGUGCGUAGGCGGUGCAGUAAGUGAGGUGUGAAAUCCCACGGCUCAACCGUGGAACUGCGCUUCAUACUGCUGUGCUAGAGGGAGACAGAGGUAAGCGGAACUGAUGGUGGAGCGGUGAAAUGCGUUGAUAUCAUCAGGAACACCAGUGGCGAAAGCGGCUUACUGGGUCUCUUCUGACGCUGAGGCACGAAAGCUAGGGUAGCGAACGGG
Molecule: unclassified non-coding RNA, 253 nt
Filed under: uncultured Pirellulaceae bacterium
Lineage: Bacteria; Pseudomonadati; Planctomycetota; Planctomycetia; Pirellulales; Pirellulaceae
Description: contains 16S-23S intergenic spacer region
Rfam family: Bacterial small subunit ribosomal RNA
Source: RNAcentral